CCAGGCACAUGUUGGUGGGUAUUAAGGCAGCUGGGGUCCACCUGAAAGAAGGGAGGAGCGCUGCUGCAGUGGAUCACCAUGCCAUGAGGGGGUGCUUCUGCCAUACUAGGGUUUGGGAUUUUUUUGAGAGAAUAUAACCUGGCAGUAGCGGAGCUGGUGGAGCUGACUUCCCUGAACCAAGACCUUGCAGUAGCUAAUCUGACAGAGCUGACUAAAUGGAACUAGAACCAGCUGCUGAGGUGUUAAUUGUUAAACAGAAGGGGUUCACAUGUGACAAUCUGUCCCACCUUGUAUUUAGGACACUUCGGUUACUUUCCCCAGACCCAAGAAAGAGCUCUGUGAAGUUGACAGCCUGUCCCUUCCACCAACAGAAGUGGAUCCAAUGAAAGAUAUCUUACCCACCUUAUCUCUUAGAAUUGUAGAUUCAGUUUUGCUUUGCGUAUAAACAGUUUCACUGCCUCUGUA
Long non-coding RNA from Mauremys reevesii (Reeves's turtle), 465 nucleotides. RefSeq lists it as uncharacterized. The record is from RefSeq and is a predicted model, not a curated record. NCBI's taxonomy places the organism in Eukaryota, Metazoa, Chordata, Testudines, Geoemydidae. The transcript has 3 exons.